GGGGAGAAAAAGUACUUGUGUGGAACAUGUCAAAAAGGGUUUGCCUUUGAUAGAGAUUUGAAACGUCAUGGAGAGACAUGUGGUGUUACUUUUAAAUGUGUUACAUGUGGAUGUCCUUUUACCAGUCCAGAAGCAGUCUUACCACAUUGUAAAAGAAAGCAACAUCAGGCACCGGAUUCAGCCAGAUCUUCUAAACGUGGAUUAAAGAAAUUAGAAAAAGACAAAAAUAAGUGUUCAGGGAAUUGUUUGGGCGAGUGGUCUAACUCAGCAUACCACUGCACUCCCCUCGCGUGUACAUGAGUAGGUUUGCCAUCUAACCUUACCGAGGAUGAAUUGUUGGAUUUCUUGAUGACAAACAUGGAGACGCAAACAACCGAAGAUUGUCUGUUUCCUGGAUUUGGUUUAUCGGAUAUUGAGACCCAAACGUCACCUGCUCCCGGAAUUGGUGGACCAACUGUGUGGGAUAUAACCAUGCUCAAAUUGAGAGAGGCAUUUGAAUGUGUUCAACUAGUACAAGUCCGGAUACAUCAUUUCUUUUAGAUUCCCUGGUGACAACAGAAACACAAACUAACCCCCAGUCAUAUAAUGAUCCGGAUUUCACCGUUUUAACUGACAUGGAAACUCAAACGACUUUUAAUACUCUUGACUUUUAUACCAACUUGACUGAUUCUCAUACCCAGACCUCAUUUUAUUAGACACUUAAAGCAUAAGUCCUAUUUGGAAGAACAAGAACUAGAGGCGAAUACUGGUGUCGGAUUUAGCUGUUCCGCUUACUAGGCCCUUCCAAUGCAUUUACCACCCACGACUAGUUGAAGAUGAAAGUGCGUUUUAAACACAAUUAAGCUAGGUCGAUGAUGAUGGCGGGCGUUAAAGAUUACAGUGCUUAUAAGAAAGACAUAAUUAUUAUAUACCUUGGUCAGAGGGCCCCUUUGCCUCAUCCUGCCAAGCGUAUACGUAAAUCGGCCGGCACUGAUGAAUACAUUAUUUUAUAACUAGAAUUCUAGAUGUGAGAGCUAAAUUAUUUUGUGUCAUGCAAGUUGUUUGUGUGGACAGAUUAGUUUGUCAAAAUAUUUAGGGUGGGAUGGGGGCAAAAUUGUCACUGUUCAGCUCAAAGCUUGAUUGCCGCUAUGACUUUACUUUGUGAUAUAAACCUAUGUAGUUGAUGUAUACUUAUGAAUUGUUUAUUAUGUUCAUGUAAUAUCGAUAUUAAAUUAUUAGAAAACUGU
This is a long non-coding RNA of Patella vulgata (common limpet), 1226 nucleotides long. RefSeq lists it as uncharacterized. The transcript has 2 exons. The record is from RefSeq and is a predicted model, not a curated record. NCBI's taxonomy places the organism in Eukaryota, Metazoa, Mollusca, Gastropoda, Patellidae.